GGGGAAUAUUGCGCAAUGGGGGAAACCCUGACGCAGCAACGCCGCGUGGAGGAAGAAGGUCUUCGGAUUGUAAACUCCUGUCUUCUGGGACGAAAAAAAUGACGGUACCAGAGGAGGAAGCCACGGCUAACUACGUGCCAGCAGCCGCGGUAAUACGUAGGUGGCAAGCGUUGUCCGGAAUUAUUGGGCGUAAAGGGCGCGUAGGCGGCAACCUAAGUCAGAUGUGAAACCCCGGGGCUUAACUCCGGACGUGCAUUUGAAACUGGGUAGCUAGAGUGCAGGAGAGGAAAGCGGAAUUCCUAGUGUAGCGGUGAAAUGCGUAGAUAUUAGGAGGAACACCAGUGGCGAAGGCGGCUUUCUGGACUGUAACUGACGCUGAGGCGCGAAAGCGUGGGGAGCAAACA
Molecule: ribosomal RNA, 404 nt
Filed under: uncultured Gracilibacteraceae bacterium
Lineage: Bacteria; Bacillati; Bacillota; Clostridia; Eubacteriales; Gracilibacteraceae
Description: bacterial SSU rRNA
Rfam family: Bacterial small subunit ribosomal RNA
Source: RNAcentral